This 468-nucleotide ribosomal RNA is filed under the name uncultured bacterium. RNAcentral's name for it is "partial 16S ribosomal RNA". It matches the Rfam family "Bacterial small subunit ribosomal RNA", at positions 28 to 507 of the family's 1533-position model. The record is from RNAcentral.
GACGAACGCUGGCGGCGUGCUUAACACAUGCAAGUCGAACGGAAAGGCCCUGCUUUUGUGGGGUGCUCGAGUGGCGAACGGGUGAGUAACACGUGAGUAACCUGCCCUUGACUUUGGGAUAACUUCAGGAAACUGGGGCUAAUACCGGAUAGGAGCUCCUGCUGCAUGGUGGGGGUUGGAAAGUUUCGGCGGUUGGGGAUGGACUCGCGGCUUAUCAGCUUGUUGGUGGGGUAGUGGCUUACCAAGGCUUUGACGGGUAGCCGGCCUGAGAGGGUGACCGGCCACAUUGGGACUGAGAUACGGCCCAGACUGCUACGGGAGGCAGAAGGGGGGAAUAUUGCACAAUGGGCGGAAGCCUGAUGCAGCGACGCCGCGUGCGGGAUGACGGCCUUCGGGUUGUAAACCGCUUUCGCCUGUGACGAAGCGUGAGUGACGGUAAUGGGUAAAGAAGCACCGGCUAACUACGUG